RNAcentral lists this unclassified non-coding RNA (268 nucleotides) under uncultured fungus. RNAcentral's name for it is "sequence contains ITS1". The stretch from base 1 to 93 matches the Rfam family "5.8S ribosomal RNA", at positions 50 to 154 of the family's 154-position model. Lineage: Eukaryota; Fungi. The record is from RNAcentral.
AAAGUGCGAUACGUGGUGCGACCUGCACGAACCUGUGAGUCAUCGAAUCUUUGAACGCAACUUGCGCCCCCGGGCAUGUGUGUUUGAGCCGGCGUAAAGAAACUGGAGUACCUAACUCUGUGCUGGGGGACGACGCGUCGCCCCCGAAACGCGUGUCUGCGGUGCGACCAAGACGGUGCGAGGGCGCGAGUAGCAUCGCGCCCGCUGCAUUUGGUCGCGCCAACACAACCCUGCCGCUCAGCCACACAAGAUUACCCGCUGGACUUAA